RNAcentral lists this transfer RNA (74 nucleotides) under Candidatus Nealsonbacteria bacterium RIFCSPHIGHO2_02_FULL_43_13. Its description in RNAcentral is "tRNA-Pro". It matches the Rfam family "tRNA". From Rfam's summary of the family: Transfer RNA (tRNA) molecules are approximately 80 nucleotides in length. Their secondary structure includes four short double-helical elements and three loops (D, anti-codon, and T loops). Further hydrogen bonds mediate the characteristic L-shaped molecular structure. tRNAs have two regions of fundamental functional importance: the anti-codon, which is responsible for specific mRNA codon recognition, and the 3' end, to which the tRNAs corresponding amino acid is attached (by aminoacyl-tRNA synthetases). tRNAs cope with the degeneracy of the genetic code in two manners: having more than one tRNA (with a specific anti-codon) for a particular amino acid; and 'wobble' base-pairing, i.e. permitting non-standard base-pairing at the 3rd anti-codon position. The record is from RNAcentral. Lineage: Bacteria; Candidatus Nealsoniibacteriota.
CGGGCUGUGGUGUAACAGUAGCACGCAUCGUUCGGGUCGAUGUAGCCCGAGUGCAAAUCUCGGCAGCCCGACCA